GGAGCUGUUUAAAGAGGUGCUGUUUAAAGGGGUGCUGUUUAAAGAGGUGCUGUUUACUCACUGGAUGUUCUGGUAGACCUCCACGGAGCUGUUUAAAGAGGUGCUGUUUAAAGGGGUGCUGUUUACUCACUGGAUGUUCUGGUAGACCUCCACGGAGCUGUUUAAAGAGGUGCUGUUUAAAGAGGUGCUGUUUAAAGGGGUGCUGUUUAAAGAGGUGCUGUUUACUCAC
This is a long non-coding RNA of Oncorhynchus tshawytscha (Chinook salmon), 229 nucleotides long. RefSeq lists it as uncharacterized. The transcript has 3 exons. The record is from RefSeq and is a predicted model, not a curated record. NCBI's taxonomy places the organism in Eukaryota, Metazoa, Chordata, Actinopteri, Salmoniformes, Salmonidae.